GCUUCCGGCCACACCUCCCUGAGCACGCCCGAUCUCCUCUGAUCUCGGAAGCUAAGCAGGGUCUGGCCCGGUUAGUACUUGGAUGGGAGACCGCCUGGGAAAUACCAGGUGCUGUAAGCC
This 120-nucleotide ribosomal RNA is filed under the name Esox lucius (northern pike). Lineage: Eukaryota; Metazoa; Chordata; Actinopteri; Esociformes; Esocidae. The record is from RNAcentral.